RNAcentral lists this long non-coding RNA (480 nucleotides) under Papio anubis (olive baboon). Its description in RNAcentral is "lncRNA (ENSPANG00000040991.1)". Lineage: Eukaryota; Metazoa; Chordata; Mammalia; Primates; Cercopithecidae. The record is from RNAcentral.
AUGAACGAGGCCGGCUCUUCCUCACCCCGCUGCUCCCGCGACCGAGCGGGAGGGGGCCGCAGGCGGCGGCGGCUCCUUUCUCGGCGGCGUUGGUGGCCAGACGGGCUGGUGCAGCGACUGCAGCCGACGCCGUUCAAAGGAACGAGAGCAACAGCAUCACGAGUUUCAGUUCCCAGGAGCCCGCCGCCGCCGCCGCCGCUGCCACGACAUGAGUCAGGCUUUCUUCCCCGGCGCGUGGCGGAAACCUCCUCCCCCUCGCCGCACCUGGGCUCGCCCCCGGCCCUCGCCUCCUCGGGGGAUGCCCCAGCGCCGGGAGCUGCGGGGUCUACGGAAGGCCGGUGGCUCCCAGUGAUAGGUGUUGUCUUUUGUGCAGUGCAGUUGCUGCCAUGCGGUCUCCUCGCCCUUCCACGGGCAGGGGCGAGGCAACCGGACAGAUGUUGCAGCUGUUUUCAGUUAACUGCCUUAGCUCCUCUGGGGUAG